RNAcentral lists this ribosomal RNA (224 nucleotides) under uncultured bacterium. RNAcentral's name for it is "partial 16S ribosomal RNA". It matches the Rfam family "Bacterial small subunit ribosomal RNA", at positions 943 to 1167 of the family's 1533-position model. The record is from RNAcentral.
GGUUUAAUUCGAUGAUACGCGAGGAACCUUACCCGGGCUUGAAUUGCAGAGGAAGGAUUUGGAGACAAUGACGCCCUUCGGGUCGUCUGUGAAGGUGCUGCAUGGUUGUCGUCAGCUCGUGCCGUGAGGUGUCGGCUUAAGUGCCAUAACGAGCGCAACCCCUCUCCUUAGUUGCCAUCAGGUAAAGCUGGGCACUCUGGGGACACUGCCACCGUAAGGUGUGA